GGUCUGCUGCGCGGUGCGUAACGGCAGCUAAUGUCCCUGGGGCGAUAAUGAUCCUCUUGGGAGCUGUCCCUGUCGGGAUCGUGGUUCCGACACAUGGCGCCCACCUGACCUGUCAGGCCACGGAGGACUUACAAGCCAACGGCCGAGGCGGCGCCGC
This 157-nucleotide non-coding RNA is filed under the name Rhodospirillales bacterium. RNAcentral describes it as "6S RNA". It matches the Rfam family "6S / SsrS RNA". Rfam says of the family: E. coli 6S RNA was the first non coding RNA to be sequenced, but its function was unknown until recently. It consists of 184 nucleotides that fold into an extended hairpin structure with a large single-stranded internal bulge. The record is from RNAcentral. Lineage: Bacteria; Pseudomonadati; Pseudomonadota; Alphaproteobacteria; Rhodospirillales.